UGGGGAAUAUUGGACAAUGGGGGGAACCCUGAUCCAGCCAUGCCGCGUGUGUGAAGAAGGCCUUAUGGUUGUAAAGCACUUUAAGCGAGGAGGAGGGUACUGGUAUUAAUACUACCAGGUACUGGACGUUACUCGCAGAAUAAGCACCGGCUAACUCUGUGCCAGCAGCCGCGGUAAUACAGAGGGUGCGAGCGUUAAUCGGAUUUACUGGGCGUAAAGCGUGCGUAGGCGGCUAAUUGAGUCGGAUGUGAAAUCCCCGGGCUUAACUUGGGAAUUGCAUUCGAUACUGGUUAGCUAGAGUGUGGGAGAGGAUGGUAGAAUUCCAGGUGUAGCGGUGAAAUUCGUAGAGAUCUGGAGGAAUACCGAUGGCGAAGGCAGCCAUCUGGCCUAACACUGACGCUGAGGUACGAAAGCAUGGGGAGCAAACAGG
RNAcentral lists this ribosomal RNA (430 nucleotides) under Pseudomonadota bacterium. RNAcentral's name for it is "Proteobacteria bacterium partial 16S ribosomal RNA". It matches the Rfam family "Bacterial small subunit ribosomal RNA", at positions 355 to 776 of the family's 1533-position model. Lineage: Bacteria; Pseudomonadati; Pseudomonadota. The record is from RNAcentral.